RNAcentral lists this ribosomal RNA (252 nucleotides) under uncultured bacterium. RNAcentral's name for it is "partial 16S ribosomal RNA". It matches the Rfam family "Bacterial small subunit ribosomal RNA", at positions 524 to 776 of the family's 1533-position model. The record is from RNAcentral.
UACGUAGGUCCCGAGCGUUGUCCCGAUUUAUUGGGCGUAAAGCGAGCGCAGGUGGUUUAUUAAGUCUGGUGUAAAAGGCAGUGGCUCAACCAUUGUAUGCAUUGGAAACUGGUAGACUUGAGUGCAGGAGAGGAGAGUGGAAUUCCAUGUGUAGCGGUGAAAUGCGUAGAUAUAUGGAGGAACACCGGUGGCGAAAGCGGCUCUCUGGCCUGUAACUGACACUGAGGCUCGAAAGCGUGGGGAGCAAACAGG